GGGAGACGGCGCCGGGCGGACGUGGACGGAGGAGUAAAUGCGAGGAUUUGGGGGCGGAUGGUACUGUCGUCUCCUAGCUGAGGUUGCUGGAUUUUUCAAUAGCGAGAGGGGUGAGCUUGCGGGGCGGCGAAUCUAGGAGGGCCGCAUCCACUGGUGGGCAUGGAGAUCCUAUGCAGCCAAAGAUCCAUGGUGCUUGAGAAGGUUACUGACAGUUACGCCCAAAUGGAGCGUCUCGCGCCUAGAGCUUUCACGGGCAGAUUUGUGUGCGGGCGGCCAGAGGUGGGAGAUGACAGGAGGGUUCAUUGCAGGCUUCCAAACAAUUGAUAGGCAAGAUGGACCUUAGAGCUCCAGGAUGGAGCUGCAGGGAAAGGUUGGGGUGCAGAACACAAGGUCUUGCCAUUGUGAGUGCCCUGCUCUAACAAGGAUGGUGCUAUCCAAAGACAAUGGUUGGUACAUAGCAGAGCAUCGCUACCAGUACAAUCACCCGAUGUCCCCUGAUUUUGGACAGACAAUGCACUGGCCAUUGCACAAGCGCAUACUCCCUCCGUUACUAAAUAUAAGACCUUUUAGAGAUUCCUAUACGGACAACAUGUUCAAUGUAGAGAGAACCAAGUGUAUGCAGACCAUAUGUCCAGCAAUACGGAUGUUUGUUUUUGGCUUUGCUGAUGCGAACGUGAAUCACUAUGAUAUGAAGUUUGGUCUAUUUGUGAGAGGGAGCAAUCAUUUUCAGAGCAUGAUCCUUGCCGGUUGUCCGGGAUAAGAGGGUGGGGAGCUUUGAGUGGUUGUUACCCAAGUUCAUCCGCAUGAUGGGUGGUGUCCCACCUAGGACGAUUCUUAUAAUUGUUGUUAACAAUCCCUGAGAAUUAUGUGCCCCCUUUUUUUGCUGAACUUGACAUCCUUCUGUGCUAAUCAAUCAGAAUGAGCAAUGGAGGUUGCCAUUAAGAGUGUAAUUUGAAUAUUUGAUCAAUUGGUAAGCUAGUCUGCGAUGAUAAUUCUCUAAGUUGGCUAACCAGUCAAAUUGUUUUCCUGAAUGUCUUUAUCUUGCCAGCACUGAGUAUACUCUUCUUUUCUCACUGGGCUUAGUGGCCUGUUGUUUUGUCUUCUUUUUUUCGUCACUCAGCUAUAAAAAUUAUACUCAAGCAUUCUCUGUUGUUGGAAGCUAACAUGAUGUAGCAUAGUGGUUUU
Triticum aestivum (bread wheat) is the source of this 1185-nucleotide long non-coding RNA. RefSeq lists it as uncharacterized. The record is from RefSeq and is a predicted model, not a curated record. Lineage: Eukaryota; Viridiplantae; Streptophyta; Magnoliopsida; Poales; Poaceae. The transcript is spliced from 3 exons.